AGAGGGUGCAAGCGUUGUUCGGAAUUAUUGGGCGUAAAGCGCGUGUAGGCGGCUUUGCAAGUCGGGUGUGAAAGCCCUCAGCUCAACUGAGGAAGUGCGCCCGAAACUGCAGAGCUUGAGUACCGGAGAGGAUGGCGGAAUUCCCCAAGUAGAGGUGAAAUUCGUAGAUAUGGGGAGGAACACCGGUGGCGAAGGCGGCCAUCUGGACGGAUACUGACGCUGAGACGCGAAAGCGUGGGGAGCAAACAGGAUUAGAUACCCUGGUAGUCCACGCCGUAAACGAUGAGAACUAGGUGUCGUGGGUGUUGACCCCCGCGGUGCCGUAGCCAACGCAUUAAGUUCUCCGCCUGGGAAGUACGGCCGCAAGGCUAAA
RNAcentral lists this ribosomal RNA (373 nucleotides) under uncultured bacterium. Its description in RNAcentral is "bacterial SSU rRNA". It matches the Rfam family "Bacterial small subunit ribosomal RNA", at positions 527 to 898 of the family's 1533-position model. The record is from RNAcentral.